UACGUAGGGAGCUAGCGUUGUCCGGAAUCAUUGGGCGUAAAGCGCGCGUAGGCGGCCAGAUUAGUCCGGUGGGAAAGUCAGAGGCUCAACCUUUGAAUGCCGCUGGAAACUGUCUGGCUUGAGUCCGGAAGGGGCGAGUGGAAUUCCUGGUGUAGCGGUGAAAUGCGCAGAUAUCAGGAGGAACACCAAUGGCGAAGGCGGCAUCCUGGACCGACAUUGACGCUGAUCCGCGAAAGCCAGGGGAGCAAACGGG
RNAcentral lists this ribosomal RNA (253 nucleotides) under uncultured bacterium. RNAcentral's name for it is "partial 16S ribosomal RNA". It matches the Rfam family "Bacterial small subunit ribosomal RNA", at positions 524 to 776 of the family's 1533-position model. The record is from RNAcentral.